This 71-nucleotide transfer RNA is filed under the name Agrilus planipennis (emerald ash borer). It matches the Rfam family "tRNA". Rfam says of the family: Transfer RNA (tRNA) molecules are approximately 80 nucleotides in length. Their secondary structure includes four short double-helical elements and three loops (D, anti-codon, and T loops). Lineage: Eukaryota; Metazoa; Arthropoda; Insecta; Coleoptera; Buprestidae. The record is from Rfam by way of RNAcentral.
GCUUUCAUAGCUUAGUGGUAGAUUACUGGUGUGUUAAUCUAGAGGCCUGGGUUCGAUUCCCGGUGAGGGAG